UAAGGAAUAUUGGUCAAUGGACGCAAGUCUGAACCAGCCAUGCCGCGUGAAGGAUGAAGGUCCUCUGGAUUGUAAACUUCUUUUAUCCGGGACGAAAACGGGAUUUUUAUCUCAAUUGACGGUACCAGAGGAAUAAGCACCGGCUAACUCCGUGCCAGCAGCCGCGGUAAUACGGAGGGUGCGAGCGUUAUCCGGAUUUACUGGGUUUAAAGGGUGCGUAGGUGGGCUUAUAAGUCAGUGGUGAAAUCUCCGAGCUUAACUUGGAAACUGCCGUUGAUACUAUAGGUCUUGAAUUAUCUGGAGGUAAGCGGAAUAUGUCAUGUAGCGGUGAAAUGCUUAGAUAUGACAUAGAACACCGAUUGCGAAGGCAGCUUACUACAUAUAAAUUGACGCUGAGGCACGAAAGCGUGGGGAUCAAACA
Molecule: ribosomal RNA, 421 nt
Filed under: uncultured bacterium
Lineage: Bacteria
Description: bacterial SSU rRNA
Rfam family: Bacterial small subunit ribosomal RNA
Source: RNAcentral